This 462-nucleotide ribosomal RNA is filed under the name uncultured bacterium. RNAcentral's name for it is "partial 16S ribosomal RNA". It matches the Rfam family "Bacterial small subunit ribosomal RNA", at positions 28 to 507 of the family's 1533-position model. The record is from RNAcentral.
GACGAACGCUGGCGGCGUGCUUAACACAUGCAAGUCGAGCGGUAAGGCCCUUCGUGGUCCACGAGCGGCGAACGGGUGCGUGACACGUGAGUAAUCUGCCCAUCCCUUCGGGAUAACUACGGGAAACCGGCUCUAACACCGAAUAUGUCCACUUCAGGCAUCUGAUUGUGGUGGAAAGUUCCGGCGGUGAUGGAUGAGCUCGCGGCGUAUCAGCUUGUUGGUUGGGUAGGGGCCUACCACUGCUUGGACGGGUAGCCGGCCUGAGAGGGUGACCGGCCACACGGGCACGGGGGAACGGCACAGACGACUUCGGAGGCAGCAGUGGGAAACAUUGGACAAUGGGGGAAAGCCUGAUCCAGCAACGCCGCGUGAGUGAUGACGGCCCUCGGGUUGUAAACCUCUGUCAGCAGGGACGAAGCGCAAGUGACGGUACCUGCAGAAGAAGCACCGGCUAACUACGUG